This 845-nucleotide ribosomal RNA is filed under the name uncultured bacterium. RNAcentral describes it as "bacterial SSU rRNA". It matches the Rfam family "Bacterial small subunit ribosomal RNA", at positions 54 to 889 of the family's 1533-position model. The record is from RNAcentral.
CAUGCAAGUCGAGGGGAAACGAUAUUGGAAGCUUGCUUCCGAUAGGCGUCGACCGGCGCACGGGUGAGUAACGCGUAUCCAACCUGCCCAUCACUUGGGGAUAACCUUGCGAAAGUAAGACUAAUACCCAAUGACGUCUCUAGAAGACAUCUGAAAGAGAUUAAAGAUUUAUCGGUGAUGGAUGGGGAUGCGUCUGAUUAGCUUGUUGGCGGGGUAACGGCCCACCAAGGCGACGAUCAGUAGGGGUUCUGAGAGGAAGGUCCCCCACAUUGGAACUGAGACACGGUCCAAACUCCUACGGGAGGCAGCAGUGAGGAAUAUUGGUCAAUGGGCGAGAGCCUGAACCAGCCAAGUAGCGUGCAGGAUGACGGCCCUAUGGGUUGUAAACUGCUUUUAUAAGGGAAUAAAGUGAGCCUCGUGAGGCUUUUUGCAUGUACCUUAUGAAUAAGGACCGGCUAAUUCCGUGCCAGCAGCCGCGGUAAUACGGAAGGUCCGGGCGUUAUCCGGAUUUAUUGGGUUUAAAGGGAGCGUAGGCCGGAGAUUAAGCGUGUUGUGAAAUGUAGACGCUCAACGUCUGCACUGCAGCGCGAACUGGUUUCCUUGAGUACGCACAAAGUGGGCGGAAUUCGUGGUGUAGCGGUGAAAUGCUUAGAUAUCACGAAGAACUCCGAUUGCGAAGGCAGCUCACUGGAGCGCAACUGACGCUGAAGCUCGAAAGUGCGGGUAUCGAACAGGAUUAGAUACCCUGGUAGUCCGCACGGUAAACGAUGGAUGCCCGCUGUUGGUCUGAAUAGGUCAGCGGCCAAGCGAAAGCAUUAAGCAUCCCACCUGGGGAGUACGCCGGC